GGAUGAUUUGUCCCAGAAAUAAAGGGUUGGGUUAAUAUUAGGGGGGAAAAAAAUCAACGUGAAUUCAAUAACAGACUAAAAACAAAAACCACAUGAUCUUCUCAACAGAUGAAGAGAAAGCAUUUAAUAAACUCCAUUCAUCCCUGAGAAAAUCUACACAAAUUAGGAAAACAGAAUACCAUCAACCCGAGAGAGGUGACAGAAGACAGAGAUGGAGAAGAUUAGGGUGUCUCAGCCAAGAACUCAGAAAAGUAAAGAGAAAAUCACUUUUCCUCCGUGACAGAGAGAACUGCAAACUUUCUCCAGAUGCCUCAAAAGAAAUGUUAAAGCUGCCUUCCCCUACCUUCCAUGACCUACUGCUAAAAGGAGGAACUUGUUUUUCACUCUUUAAGGAAAAUUGA
Molecule: long non-coding RNA, 401 nt
Filed under: Mustela putorius furo (domestic ferret)
Lineage: Eukaryota; Metazoa; Chordata; Mammalia; Carnivora; Mustelidae
Description: lncRNA (ENSMPUG00000029722.1)
Source: RNAcentral